This is a non-coding RNA of Mycena galericulata, 130 nucleotides long. The record is from the annotation of a GenBank genome assembly. NCBI's taxonomy places the organism in Eukaryota, Fungi, Basidiomycota, Agaricomycetes, Agaricales, Mycenaceae.
GGGGACUUAGUGUAACGGUAACACACGCCACCGACAGAAGCCACCAGUACGGUGCGGGCCUGGCCAGCCUACACUCGAGCUGAGAAUUAGCGUGUGGGGCGAGCCGGAGGUUCGAUUCCUCCAGUCUCCU